This 360-nucleotide ribosomal RNA is filed under the name Triticum aestivum (bread wheat). RNAcentral's name for it is "partial small subunit ribosomal RNA". The record is from RNAcentral. Lineage: Eukaryota; Viridiplantae; Streptophyta; Magnoliopsida; Poales; Poaceae.
AUGCAUUUGAUCCCCAUUGAGCUGGUUGAAGUCUUCAACAAGUUUCUGGGUGAGUCAAUGUUUGAAAAGCUUGACCUCCCUAAACCAGUCUACUUCACACGUAGGCUUGAGCGGGGUGGAUGUGUAUCAGUAGUUGAGUUGUACCCAACAAAAGAGGAUCUUCGCGUUUCAUCUGGACGAGCUGUGUUGUCAAGCCCAAUAUGUAAGGCCAUCGGGUUCAUGGAACGCAGAUAUCAUAAGGUGCUUGUUGAUUACAACCAUGAGCACCUGCAGGAAGAACAAAAGGCAAAUGUAAAGAUCACAAACAAGGUGAUAGAAAAAGGAGAAGAGAUUAAACGGUACAAAAAGAGCAUCAAAUAG